This 440-nucleotide ribosomal RNA is filed under the name uncultured bacterium. RNAcentral describes it as "partial 16S ribosomal RNA". It matches the Rfam family "Bacterial small subunit ribosomal RNA", at positions 338 to 795 of the family's 1533-position model. The record is from RNAcentral.
CCUACGGGUGGCAGCAGUGGGGGAUAUUGCACAAUGGGGGAAACCCUGAUGCAGCGACGCCGCGUGUGGGAAGACGGUCCUCUGGAUUGUAAACCACUGUCCCCAGGGACGAAGAUGACGGUACCUGGGGAGGAAGCUUCGGCUAACUACGUACCAGCAGCCGCGGUAAUACGUAGGGAGCGAGUGUUGUCCGGAAUUACUGGGUGUAAAGGGAGCGUAGGCGGGAUGGCAAGUUGGGUGUUAAAUCUACCGGCUCAACUGGUAGUCGCACUCUAAACUGCUAUUCUUGAGUGAGAUAGAGGCAGGCGGAAUGCCUAGUGUAGCGGUGAAAUGCGUAGAUAUUAGGAGGAACACCAGUGGCGAAGGCGGCCUGCUGGCCUUAUACUGACGCUGAGGCUCGAAAGUGUGGGGAGCAAACAGGAUUAGAUACCCUAGUAGUC